UGAAUGCCUUGGAGUGGAGACUUUCUACUAGUUUCCUUUCUUAUACAUGCAUGAUGAGCUAAUUCAUUGCAAGGUAUCCAUUGUUGAACCAGGAGAGUAACAAGAGUUGCUGAGGUCAUAUUCGAAUCAUUGAUAUGAUUAGCAUAUACCCCACACUGAAGCUCCUCAUGAAGCUCCAAUCCUUUCAAGUGGUUAUGGUUGAGAAAAUGGGACUUCCUGAUGGAUUGGAUUCUGGUACAUCUAAAGGUUAUGGUGAUGUUCUACGUUGUUGUCGGACGUGGAGUAAGAUUGCAAGACGGAUUGCCACUCUUGAGUUUGACCGUGAUAGGAAAUCGAUGGGAGUUAUAGUGAGUUCCAGCUCAAGAAGAAAGUCAUUGCUUGUAAAGGCCCUACACCAUAUUCUGUCCAGAUUUGACACACUUUUAGGAAAAUGAGCUUUUGCAUCAAAGUAAAGGGAGCAUUUAAUGCCAGAAAUCAAACCUUUUGCAUCAAAGAAAAGAGCUUGAAGUCACUUCUUGGGACUCCAUAUGCCAGGUGACAGAUGGAUCUAGUGGCAUUCACCAGGCUUCUCCACAAACACAUCAGAGAUCCUCUUUGGGAAGUCAUGAAAUGCAACCUUUUAAUCGGGGGGAAUUUAGUGCUGUUCUAGGAAAAAAACCUGAACCUUGUACUGCUUUUUAUUCUUCUUACCAGUGCAGGUAACUCAUGUUCAUUGAAUGAUAAAUUUUAGUGAAGGAAUGCAUUUUCAAAAUUUUGGCAUAUUUAUGAAGGGCUGUAGGCUAGGGUUGCCUAAUUGUUAAGUGUUUUUGUAUGGGACAUGGACAUUCAACACACCACAGAUAUCUGAAAUGCAGUCAAAGUAUUUGCACAAUCAACAUUAAAUUGCAUUUCUUUUGUAGAACAUUAAAUAUUUGAGAUGGAUAUAGCCUCUUAAAUUAAGUUGUUGGUUAUAGUAAAAUUUCUGUUGAACUUGGAACUUCUAUGGGUAAAGUGACAUUUUGUUUUUACAUGUUUCAUGUCAUGGCAGAGGUAUUUAAUGUUAAGACAUUUGAAGGGGUGUGAUUGGUCGGACUUUAUCUUUUGUAAGACUAGAACAAUCUCUGCAAAUAGUUUGUUUAUUCAUAUGCUUCUAGUGGUGUCUGAAUUAAUUUGUGUUUUUAUUUUUUAGGUUAGAAAUUUUUUGGAGAGAUGCAAAAUAUGGUCAAAGAAUUCAAAGACUUAG
Camellia sinensis is the source of this 1222-nucleotide non-coding RNA. The record is from RefSeq and is a predicted model, not a curated record. Lineage: Eukaryota; Viridiplantae; Streptophyta; Magnoliopsida; Ericales; Theaceae.